CCUAGGUGGGCAGCAGUGGGGAAUAUUGCACAAUGGAGGAAACUCUGAUGCAGCAACGCCGCGUGGAGGAUGACACUUUUCGGAGCGUAAACUCCUUUUAUAUAGGAAGAAGAUGACGGUACUAUAUGAAUAAGCGCCGGCUAACUCCGUGCCAGCAGCCGCGGUAAUACGGAGGGCGCAAGCGUUACUCGGAAUCACUGGGCGUAAAGAGCGUGUAGGCGGAUUAAAAAGUCAGAAGUGAAAUCCUAUAGCUUAACUAUAGAACUGCUUCUGAAACUCUUAAUCUAGAAUAUGGGAGAGGUAGAUGGAAUUUCUGGUGUAGGGGUAAAAUCCGUAGAGAUCAGAAGGAAUACCGAUUGCGAAGGCGGUCUACUAGAACAUUAUUGACGCUGAGACGCGAAAGCGUGGGGAGCAAACAGGAUUAGAUACCCCAGUAGUC
This 439-nucleotide ribosomal RNA is filed under the name uncultured bacterium. Its description in RNAcentral is "partial 16S ribosomal RNA". It matches the Rfam family "Bacterial small subunit ribosomal RNA", at positions 339 to 795 of the family's 1533-position model. The record is from RNAcentral.